Long non-coding RNA from Lutzomyia longipalpis, 660 nucleotides. RefSeq lists it as uncharacterized. The record is from RefSeq and is a predicted model, not a curated record. The transcript has 3 exons. Lineage: Eukaryota; Metazoa; Arthropoda; Insecta; Diptera; Psychodidae.
UCGAUCGUGAAAAUAAAAAUUGAGGUUAAGUUUGAUUGUUUUCCUGCCAAGUUUGUUGAUGUUUCCGGAUGAUUUUGUUUUUAUUUUAUGGAAAUUGUGCUCAAGAAAGUGAAAAACGGCAAAGCAUUGAAUUUUUAUUCAAUGCAAUGCUACCUUUUAUUCGAGUGACGUGAAGGAAAAUCGUUCACUUUUUCCAAGGAAUUUGAUCACCCCAGAUGGACUGGAGGAAAGACAGCUCGAUGCAAGGAUUUUAAGAGGAACUCACUCAGACGCUCAGACCUCAUCAAUAUGGCCAUCACUUAAGUCGACAGGACUACAAGUUUUCUUGAAGGAAAUAGUCCAGGAUCUGAAGCUAGAAUCCGGCAGAACAGCAUUGGAAACCAUAAAUGCGACAUAAAAGCCGGGAAUCCCUAUCACGCACAAUCAGUUUAGCAGAAACUCAACUAUUCAUCUUCCUGUGCGGGGAUUCAGAGGUUCUCCUUAAGCUCAUCUGCUCACCAAACCCACAGAAGAUUUUAAAGCAGUAGCUGAACAGCAAUUUGCAGUCAAGGAUCUACCAGAGUAUAAUGGAUCGCUGAUCCUUCUUCCAUCUCACCUUUGGAUUUGGACUUUUUGCUGCAAUUUAUGGCCCGGAAUAGAUGACGAGUGGAGACAUCAAUA